Non-coding RNA from Amborella trichopoda, 2147 nucleotides. Lineage: Eukaryota; Viridiplantae; Streptophyta; Magnoliopsida; Amborellales; Amborellaceae. The record is from RefSeq and is a predicted model, not a curated record.
CUCAUGAGAAGUCAUUAUAUCUACACUUCUCUUUCUCUCCCCCCUCCGGGGCAAGAACUCCUCACCCUCCUCCAUGCCUCAACAAUAGGAACAUACGGUUUGCUGCCUGGAGCAUGUUCCUUCCACGAUUGCAUCUUUGGCAUGAGCCAUAGUCAUGCAACUACAUAUUGGCAUAACAUUGUCAUUCUUGAAAUUGGUAUUCCCUUGCAAUUCCUAGAUAUCCGACUGUGGAUUCUUCUCUGCCAAGAUCUAUCUUGGCAUUUCUUCUAAUGAAGGUUUGACCUUUAGUGGCAUCAGAUCUAACCUUUGUAUUGAGUUUUGGUUUCAGUAUUAUUUUCUUCUCCUUUUAGUCAUUUGACAUUUAGGUUUUCUUAUCAGAGAUUUUGCAGAAGUUGCAAACUUAUGGACUACUGGCAUUUGUUUUGAUAAACAAACGCUACAUGAACUCCUUUGCGUAUAUCUUCCUAAUCUGAUCAAGGAUUUCACUUUUUGAAAUGAUGGAGGGAGUUUUAAUGUUCGGUUGUUGCCGUAUUUUGCUGAAUGCUCAAUUCCCCUUAAUAGUGCCGCAGUCAUAACAUGUUGCUCUAUCAGUUUGAUGAAUCUUGUUGAUGUACUUUUUGUUAAUAUGCUUACUUCCUGUGUUUGAAGUGUAGUGGCAAGUUUUUUCUGUAACAAGUGGACAGUUGGUCUAUGGAUCUUGUACUAGUGCUUGACCCUUAUAGAAUUGUUUUGUGUAGCCACUCAUUUUAACAAAUACUAACUACUUGAAUGUUUUCCACAAUGGCUUCAAUUUAAUGAGGCUUGGUGAUUAAUUUACAUGCCGACCCCAAAUAAUCGAAAUAAGGCUUGGAUGAUGAUGAUGAUGGUGAUUAAUUUACAUGAUUUCAUUGAUGGUAUCAAGCAACUAAAAAUUUCAUAAACUUUCCUUUGGAGACGAUUUCAGACGAUACAAUUCAUGAUCAAUUUAUUGAUGAGACAAAAAACGUUCUGGCUCAUUAUUAGAGAAAUAUUUGUUCUCCCACAUUCUAAAGUUGCUAUUCUCUUGUAGUGUGGCUGAGAUAGCGGUUUUUCAGACAAAAAUCCACUUACAAGAGGCUUAUCAGAAAUGCAAAAUUGUCCAAUUGUGUGACAAAUAUGAGACUGCCAUCUCUUUAGUAAAUGUAACCUCCUUAUUGUUCUAAUUGCUACCUAGAUUAGACUCUCUUUGUUCUCUUUAGUUAUUCACAAAGCUUACUAGCAUACGGCUUAUGAUUGGCAUUAUUCUGAUCAGAUUCUUCUCAAUUUGAAAUGUUUCCCUGUGCUUACAUAGGUCCUAGAUAAGAUGCAUGCUCGGCCUAGUGGGCCUAAGGUGUUGCUCACUAGACAACCAACGGAGGACGGGCUCGGGAUGGAGGACUAAGGUUAGGGGAAAUGGAGCGCGACUGUUUGAUAGCUUACGGUGCAAGUAAUAUGAUCCUAGAACGCAUGAUGAUCUCCAGUGAUAAGUUUCAGGUUCAGGUUUGCACAAAAUGUGGUUUGUUGGGAUAUUACCAUCAUACAUUGAAAAUGGCCUGGUGUACAUCAUGCUAGAACGGAGAUAAUGUCUCUACUUUGACACUACCUUAUGCAUGCAAGCUUCUAAUCCAGGAAUUGCAAGCAAUGAAUGUCGUCCCUCAUCUCCAACUUUCAGAGGCAGGAAAAGCUUAAUUGUGCAGUUAAGACAUUCAAAUUCCAUGAAAUGCUAAUUGCAUAUGACUAACAUGUGAGAUCCACGCAUAAAACUGCUUGGAAAAUGUCCACGAUUUUGAAAAGUUAAAGUAAAUCGUCUUCAUGAUGCAUUAUGGGGUGUUAACCAAGCGAUGGAAGGAAACUUGAAAAAUGGAUUUGUGGAGGCUGCAUCCCUCAAAGUUUCUGAAGAUUAAAGUCUUGGAGCUGCUACUCCUGCAAUAGCGGGUUCUGUGUUUUGUGGAUUGAAAUCAAACCCCAAAUGCAAUAAGUUUUGGGUUGCCAGUUUUGAUUAAAACAAAUUUGGAUUGUCAGUUUGGUCAGGAAAAUCAGCUUCUUAUGGAUGACCUACCAUAGCAUAUUUAUUGGAGAUUAUACAUAGGAGACUAUGACAUUGUGUUUCUACCUGUUAUAAAUAUGAAAGAUAAGGUGGUUAGGCUAAA